GAUAAAAGAAAUCACUUGUAUAAGAGUUAGUUUGGAAACAUAUUCAGAUUUCAACCCUGGAAAUGGACAUGGCUGACAAGAGACCAACUGUUAACUUUGGAGCACAGUGAGAUCUGUAAAGAAAUCCAGAACAUCAGUGACAAGAUACAGGAGUGAAUUUUCAUCCAAGAUAGACCAACUCAACCUACUGGUUUCCAGUCGACAGGAAAAAAUGUCAAAAUUAAACCUUCAACAUCAGCAGAAAAUGAGGGCUACAUAGGAAAGCAUGCAGCAGCUUAGAAUUUCAGCCCUGAAAAUGGGCAUGGCUGACAAGAGACUAACUGUAAAUUUUGGAGCACAGUGAGAUCUGUAAAGAAAUCCAGGACAUCAGUGACAAGAUACAGGAGUGAUUUUUCAUCCAAGAUAGACCAACUCCUGGUUUCCAGUCGACAGGAAAAAAUGUCAAAAUUAAACCUUCAACAUCAGCAGAAAAUGAGGGCUACACAGGAAAGCAUGCAACAGCUGAGGGAUUGACCAAUGGCUGCUGAUAUGGGCGGAAAACAAAAUCGGUUAGAGGAGAUUGAAAGGAAGAUCAGAAGAAAAUGUCAAAUGAAAGUGUUAAACAGAUAAAACAAUAUAUAUAAUUUUACAUGAAUGUAUGCACAUGUAUGAUGUAUGUGUACCCUUUUUAUUUUGAAACGGUUCAUGAUUUGCUAGCAUUUGAAAAUCGAAAUUUUAUGAGACAUAAAGAUAGGAAACUAAAAUGAAAAAUCAAAUUAUUUCGAAAAUAGUUGGGACAUUUUACUGUAUUUUUGUGUCUUCAUACUUUACUUAAUUUUUAUUGUUUUUGAGUUCCAGAUGAAUAUUGCACAGGAUAAUUCCCUACACGAGCGUCGAGUGAAGAAAGCCAUGCAGUAUAAACUGACAGACAAAACUAUUUCACUAUUUGUAGCAGGAAUGUCAGCUGCAGUGCUGUGAAUACAAAACAAGAUGCUUGUAAAAAAUAGAAUGUUAAAUUUUGUUUUGUCAUGUGUAUAUUGGUCUGUAAAACGCUUAUAAUGACCUUUCAUCUGGAAAUUUUUGAGUUUUACCUGACCAUCAUUUUUUCUGAAUGUUGCGAGAUAGAAAAAAGGUGAGUCAGAGAAGAACGUUUAGUAAUUACAUAUAUAACUUGGCAAAAAUUGAAGACUUUCGUACACAGAAAAUUAGUUUAUGAAAACAAAGAAAGCAAACUUAAUGAUGUGUUUUCAUCAAUAUUUAAUAGUGAAGAUGUAGUGUCGUGGGAAAAUCUUGGGCUUACAAAUAAAAGAAUAUGUGUAGUAUGCCAUCUUUCAAUGUAGUAAAAAGUAACCACUGGAGUUAAAUGCUUGAGAGAUGCAUACAAGUUAUAUUGGAUGAUAAUUUAAAAAUUCACCAUGGAUUUGUUCCGUUGAGGUUAUCAUAUUUCUCCUAUAAUACCAUAAGAAAACUUUGGUGAUGUAGAAUUUGAAUCUAAAUUGAAUUAAUUUACUUGUCCAAAAAAUGCUUAAACAAUCUUACCAGACCUUGCAACCCUCACCAUCACCACGGGAGAUAGUAUAGGACAGAGUACUAACAUUCACCACGGGAGAUAGUAUAGGAGAGAGUACUAACAUUCACCACGGGAGAUAGUUUAGUAUAGGAUAGAGUACUAACAUUCACCACGGGAGAUAGUAUAGGACAGAGUACUAACAUU
Molecule: RNA transcript, 1693 nt
Organism: Mizuhopecten yessoensis (Yesso scallop)
Lineage: Eukaryota; Metazoa; Mollusca; Bivalvia; Pectinida; Pectinidae
Exons: 5
Source: RefSeq, a predicted model, not a curated record